GAAAUGCGAUACGCAAUGCGAAUUGCAGAAUUCCGCGAGUCAUCAGAUUUUUGAACGCAAACUGCGCCAUAGGGAUAUCCCUGCGGCAUGUUUGUUUCAGUGUGUUUGUUGACAUCAUAAAACUAAAUGCGAUUGAAAUAUUUAAGUAUGUUUCUCUCGUUAAAUAUGUUAUAUGUAUUUUAUUAGUCAAUAAAAUAAAAUUCCAACAUAGCGGUCGCUUUUCAUUAAGUGAUUAUGUUUGGUAAUUUUUAGACUGAUAAUCAUUUAUUGCAUAUAUAUUUUAUAAAAACAAUCUUCAAUCAGCACCUGAAAUCAAGCAAGACAACCCGCUGAACUUAA
This 339-nucleotide unclassified non-coding RNA is filed under the name uncultured Dermatocarpon. RNAcentral describes it as "sequence contains ITS1". The stretch from base 1 to 105 matches the Rfam family "5.8S ribosomal RNA", at positions 50 to 154 of the family's 154-position model. Lineage: Eukaryota; Fungi; Ascomycota; Eurotiomycetes; Verrucariales; Verrucariaceae. The record is from RNAcentral.